Molecule: ribosomal RNA, 443 nt
Filed under: uncultured soil bacterium
Lineage: Bacteria
Description: bacterial SSU rRNA
Rfam family: Bacterial small subunit ribosomal RNA
Source: RNAcentral
AGAGCGAACGCUGGCGGCAGGCCUAACACAUGCAAGUCGAACGGACUCUUCGGAGUUAGUGGCGGACGGGUGAGUAACACGUGGGAACGUGCCUUUAGGUUCGGAAUAGCUCCUGGAAACGGGUGGUAAUGCCGAAUGUGCCCUUCGGGGGAAAGAUUUAUCGCCUUUAGAGCGGCCCGCGUCUGAUUAGCUAGUUGGUGAGGUAAAGGCUCACCAAGGCUACGAUCAGUAGCUGGUCUGAGAGGAUGACCAGCCACAUUGGGACUGAGACACGGCCCAAACUCCUACGGGAGGCAGCAGUGGGGAAUCUUGCGCAAUGGGCGAAAGCCUGACGCAGCCAUGCCGCGUGAAUGAUGAAGGUCUAGGAUUGUAAAAUUCUUUCAGUAGGGACGAUAAUGACGGUACCUACAGAAGAAGCCCGGCUAACUCGUGCCAGCAGCCGC